AGUGGAAGGCAGCGGUCAUGCGCCGGAUCGGAGCUGCAGUAGCAAGGAGCUGGUGGCGGUUCGGGUUUGCCUCUAUGGCCGUCAGCUCCAGCCCUGACCCGGACAGUGCCAUGGAUCCGGCGAAGUGGUAUACACUGAGGAAGAGGCAAACAACGCAAGGAAGAAGCCGACAUUCUUGUGGGAUCUGGGAAGGAAGAGGGAGGCGGAAGAGAGGAAUGGGUGCGACGGCUGUUGAGAGGGAGGAGGAGGGAGGAGUGCGUGGCUGUGGAUCUGGUCUAGGGUUGGUGCAGUUCUGUCCAAUGGGCUCCUCCCUUCAGCUUCAGGCAAGCCACGGAACGCCCGUUGCGUGAUGAAAGGUUCACCCAACCUAAUAUGACCCGCUGCAGACCCAGCCAAUGCAAGCGUGAGAUGAGCUCACUUGUCAUUAGGCAGUAAAAUGACUGUGAGGUGAAAAUUGAAUUUGACUGCUGUGAAAAUCCAAUGGCUCAGGCGUGCUAGAAGGCAGAUCGGACGGCCAACGAGUGCGACUCAGCAGGAAGGUGAACUGUGGGGAGCCGCAACAUGGCAUGGCCUCACUAGCCAAUUAGGUCUCCUCUCUCUUUGCCUACUGCUUCCUCUGGAACUCUGAUUUUGUUUGACUUAUGAAGGCACAUUCAUCCUACAAGUACAAUCAUGAUUAAGAGUUAGAGCGUCCCCGCACAUCAGUUUGCUUUCUUACAUUGAUUAUUGUUUUUUAUGCAUUAUAUCAUUCACCUUCUCACAUAAUAGUUUGGUAAAAAAAGAGUGAACUCACUCCUGAGUUUGUACUAAUUAUAUAUUUAUGGCACCAUUAAUAAUUUGCAUUUGCAUUUUCUGAUGAAUUCAUCGAGUUCCUUUCUCAAUAUGCUUAGAUGCUUUUCUGUCAGAAAUUUUGUGUGACAACAGAAGUAAUGGUUGAUUUGUUUAGCCUUUGUGUCGGUUUCAUCUGUAUAUAUUUCACUGGCCUACCUAUCAAUGUUGUAUGUCAAUAGUUCAUGCUUUUUUCUUUGGGAUAAUUAUGCCUAGCUAAAAACAGAGAGGAGUCAGGUACAUGCCUGCUACUGCUCUUUUUGCUUCCUAAAGUGUUCCUUCAACUAAUCCAGUAACCUGACAUUACUUUGUGUUUAACUAAUAUCAUUCUUAUCACAGUGAGCAAAUAUUGUUCAGUUAGCCUCCUUAUCGUAGAAAUGGUAACUGAAUGUGUGUUCUCCUUUUAUCACCUCUGAAUUUAAGGAAUAUAUUUGCUAAUAUAUCAAUGCUCAUUGGUGCCAUGUCUGGUUCUUAAGUGCAUGCUUGGAAGCUUAAAUCUGUCAUCAAACUGUGAAAUAGUGUUGUAAGAGACACUUCUAUAAGCAAAGGUAUGUGCCUGCAUUUAGACCUUAAUUAUCCCUUGCUUAGUAUUGUUUGGUUCGUGUUAUUCAUGCUACAAUGAUUUUCUUCACUCUGUUAAUCUUAUAGUAACUAGACGGCACAGUACAUGGCAGCAGUAUACUUUUGGUGUAGGAAUCAACAAUGACAUGCUUCAUGUUCUGUGUGCCUUGACUCUGGCUCUAUGCUUAUUAAUCAACUUAGCGAGCUUUAGGACUUCGAAAGUUGUCAUUUCAAGGAACAUGAAAAGUUUGUCAAGGAUGUACCAAAUCAUAUACGUAUGUUUCUUUCCACUUCUGCAUUUAUGGCUGCAAAUUGUAUUCUCAGAUUCUAGACUGGGUGUAUAUAAACAUAUAUUCUGCACACUGAAUUCUAGGUUCUCUUUAAUACAUCACAGAUAAAACAAAUAUUUCACUAGCAGUCUACUAGGGGAGGACGUUGAUGAAUCCUGCAUGCAUUGUUUUUUUUAUGCUUUAGUUGUUGAUGUUCAUAAAGUGAUGACAGAUGGCUUCAUUUAUGUUUGUUUAUACACAACAAACACCACCAAGAUCCCAAUUAAUCUGUGCAUUCAAGCGGCGAGUCAAAAGUACAUCACGUAUUGGUUGAGUGUCAUUGGAACAAUGAAGCAGAUUGCAUGCUUGCUUGAGUUCACCUUCUUUUUGGUGGACUAUAUAUCCAAGUAUUUCUUACAAAGUAUUUAAAAAAUAAAGGGGCAAAAGAUGUUAUAAUUCAGAACCAAACUUAGAAUGACACUAGGCUGUUAUCAUCACAAUUUGACAGUGUUGUGCCAAAAAAAAACUCCGAGUAAACAAAGAACAUUCUGGCUCCUUUCCAGCUUGCUAUUCAUGACGUUGCAAUGGCUGGAAGAAAGGGGACACAAUGCAGCUUGUUACAAAUCAUUUCAAAGUUUCCUUGAAAGACACCAUAGAUGAGUUCUUUCAUCAUUAUUUUGUAUGGAUCUAUCCUUGUUUACUUUGUUUUUUAGUUCCCUGUGUAACCAUCAGAUGCCAUUGCUCUUUUAUUUAAUUGAAUGCAGGUAUAUCUGAGGUAUUAGGACGAGAGGCCAGUGAAUGGAAAAGGCGUUGGUACAAAAGUCAUUGACAAACUGUAACAGGAUUAUGCAUCUGAGAUUCCUAUGAUGGCGAAAAAGAGAAACAAUUGACAAUUUGACAGAAGUGUUAUAUGAGUUUCGGACGACAAGGUCGCGAAUGGAGUACUUUCAUCAUUAGGUUUCCAUUGCCCGGCUCCUGAAGGUUUAUGUGAUUGGUAUGGAUGGAACAAUGAGAGGAGCAGUGGCGAUAUUCGAAGAGUUAAAACGGUGCAGUUUGAGGAUAUCCAUUACAGGGAUCCCAAAAAACUUGGACAACGGCAUCGACAUCAUAGACAAGGCGUUUGGGUUUCAAACUGCAGUGGAGAGUGCUCAGUAGGCAAUCGAUGCGACACAUGUGGGGUUGUGAAUAUUGUCGAUGGCAUUGGUCUUGUCAAACUUAUGGGAAUGAGCAGUAGGCAAUCGAUGCGACACAUGUGGGGUUGUGAAUAUUGUCGAUGGCAUUGGUCUUGUCAAACUUAUGGGAAUGAGCACGGGCCACAUUACUCUUCAUGCCA
Triticum dicoccoides is the source of this 2991-nucleotide long non-coding RNA. RefSeq lists it as uncharacterized. NCBI's taxonomy places the organism in Eukaryota, Viridiplantae, Streptophyta, Magnoliopsida, Poales, Poaceae. The record is from RefSeq and is a predicted model, not a curated record. The transcript has 5 exons.